AACAAAUUCCAGAAUUUUCAUGCAGUCAGGUUGUAUAAGUUAUUUGCCUACAAGUCAUUUGUUGAAAUCCCUUCUAACUCAGUUUCCAUACAUUGCGGUCCCCCAAAUUGACUUACUUGUAGAUUAAAAACCAUCUUAUCAUUGUCAUUAAACUUCUGAAACAUUUGCCAUCUCCCAUUUUCAAUGGUUCUUAUAGUCAGGCAUGAUCCAAAUGCUUUCGUUCCAAUGUUCUUUAAACUUCUCACCUAAACUCUUCUCUGAGACUCAGUUUUCAAAGAUUUUUGCUUCUUCUUUCCCCUUCUCUGCCAUCUCAGUUUUUUACUAUAUAUAUAUCUCAAUUUAGAGUCUCUAGAUUCUAUUUACUUAUUUUUCAGGAUAUAGAUUCUGGCUGAUGUAGGGAAAAGUCCACAAUAUUGACCCUGUGAAAAAGAUUAAUUUUAAUCCAAGAAAUGGUACAAUAGAGAGUAGGAAGAGAAGGUAAAAAGUCAAAUACUUAUAACUCAGCCCUCUCAUCUUUUCAUGCCAUAUUAUGUUAUUUAAGACCUUCUGCAAUUAGAAGGUCAAGAUCUCUCACUUUAAUUGCUUCUAUACCAGGAUCUCUGUAUCAAAGUUCUACCACCAGAGGAGAUAUGGUACCAUUCUAUCAUGUCGGUUGGUUAUUUAUUUUCUGAACCAUAGUUAGAAAUUUAUAAGCAUGUUGGAAUGCUUACCAGCAUAAACCUCAGGGGUCUGAGAGUGUGCCCAGUUGAAUACACUCUAGCCAAGCAUUAGGGCCUAGUGUCACCUCUCACCUAACCUGGCACUGAACUCAUUACCAAACCUAUCUAUGGUCUCAUUCAACACAUGGACCUGUAGGUCAUGCACUUCAGUUCCUCAGACUAUUUCAUUAAGUCAAAUCCACACUCCCUCCCUUCCCCCCGGCCCACUGAGCUAUAAAGCUCAGAAUAACAAGUGGUAAAUAACGUGGUUUUAUCACAGUGAUGCUUAAACCUACACUUAAGGUAAAUGGCACUGUGAAGGGCAAAAACAAAAAACAAAACCUAAAUUACAGAUCUACAGAUAGUUCUCCAAUUAAGUCAACUGCUUUGAGGUAUCACUUGGUUCACUUUCUAAAAUAGAUCACAGCAAGCAAGCAGUUAAAUGAAGCUGAUUUAGCGUCCAUCAUUUUUUUUUUUAAUUUCAUCUAAAUUUUUCUAGUUGUGUGGUGAAUGAGUAAAAGACUAAGAGUUACGAGAAGAGAUCAUAAAAGCCUGGAUAAUCUGUAAUCUAGAGAAUAACCAUUCAUUUACUAUGCCUUUCCAUUUUGUUACUCAAUUCAUCUAGCCCCUGUGCCAAAACUAUUAUUUCUUCUUAUGCUACAUAAGUUAAUUUGCACAAAACAUCAAACUGCUAUUUCUGUGAAAGGCCAAGUCCUGGUUCUUAUGUCUUGAAAAAAAUAUAUUUUUAAUCCUCUCUUACUGCUCUCUCCUUCCUCUACACCCUCCCUCAUAUCUAUUUACAUUUUGCCAUUUGUGAACACUUUGGUUUCUACUGAGAUGUCUGACACAAAAUUGAGAAUUUGAGGCUUGCAUGCAAAAUCAGCAGCCAAUUACAAUUCUAGUCUUCAGCUCUCUCAGCAUUCUGUCACCAACCACCUGCCUGGGUUGUGAAAACCUUGGCAGGUUGUCUCCUCACUAUGAAUGAGUGAGGAUUUAUGUGACCUUCACAAAAUCAGACAAGAAGCCUGCACAUCAGAUAAAAUGUCUAAUGAAAUUAACACAAUGUUCAUAGGCUUGAAAAGAAAUGUCCACAGACCAUUCAACAACUGGAGACAUCACCUUUCUUGUCUCUUCUCAAUUGCACGUCUCCCUCUCAUUUAAAUUAACAAAAAUGCCUUUAAGCUCUACUAUGUAACUCUCCUACACAAAAGGCACAUGCACAAAUGCACAUUUUCAGUAGUUGUCUCUGUACAACUGGUGAACACAGAAAUGCCCUUAUUGAUGAUAUAUAUUAAACUAUAUGGAUGAGGAUGAGAGAUUAUCCCUUAUUAUGGCUUUUUAGUCAGGCAGUAAGUGAGUAUUUAUUGAGUUCUGACCUUGUACAAAGUCCAUGGUUCACUGUGAUAAAUGUAUAUACAAUGAGUUUUGUUGAAUAAACAGCAUGACUUCCAGCUUAUAAGAUAUUAAAAUCAAAUUAAUACUCAAACAAAAUCAUAUAGGAACUAUUCAGAUAUUUAAAACAGAGAUAAGUGGAAAAUUAUCAGCUAUGAAGUUGCCAGAUAAAUCUCUACUAAUAUUUUUGUAUUUUUCUAUCUCUCUCACUGUGGUUCUGCCAGUCCCUUGCAUGUAUGCCUAUGACCUAUUAUUCUCAUUGAGAAGCAUAAAACAGAUUGCCAUAUUCACCUUAAUAGGACUAUAGCAAAUCACUUAAUAACUCCCCCACAAUUUAUUUAAACAAUCAUUUAGUGGGUAUGAGUGUUCUCUCCAAAUUUUAAUUCACAGUGCAUGCACCCACCCACCCACACACACACGAAUACACAGCUUUGUAUACAUGCUCAACAAUAUCAUUAAGAUAAAUGUCUAUCACAAAGCCAUGCAUUUUUAAACUUUUAGGAAUUUUAAUAUUUAAUACUUACACAGAAAUGUAAAUAUAUCAGUGUAAACCUGAAUAAAUUUUCAAAGAUAGCACACCAUGUAUGGCAUUCAUUUCAAGAAAGAGUAUUACCUAUGAUAUAAGGCCCAUUUUGAGCCUCUUUUCCAGUCUUAAUCCCCCCAGAAGGUAAUCAUUAUGCUGACAUUAUACUGACUAGAAAACAGAUUACAUAAAUUUAAGUGAAAAAUUAGGUUCUCUUUUGUACUCAAGCUUCUUUGUGAAAUGUAUACUGUUGUGUUUAAUUGUGUAUUAAUCAUUUUCAAAGCUAUAUAGUUUUCCUUCUAUGUCACAAAUUAUAUGUCCAUUACAUUUGGUGAACAUUUAACGUAUCAGGAAGUUUCCACUGUGGGCAGUCAUGAAUAAUGUUCCUGUGAA
RNAcentral lists this long non-coding RNA (3006 nucleotides) under Sus scrofa (pig). Its description in RNAcentral is "lncRNA (ENSSSCG00060066663.1)". The record is from RNAcentral. Lineage: Eukaryota; Metazoa; Chordata; Mammalia; Artiodactyla; Suidae.